RNAcentral lists this ribosomal RNA (497 nucleotides) under uncultured bacterium. RNAcentral describes it as "partial 16S ribosomal RNA". It matches the Rfam family "Bacterial small subunit ribosomal RNA", at positions 28 to 507 of the family's 1533-position model. The record is from RNAcentral.
GAUGAACGCUGGCGGCGUGCCUAAUACAUGCAAGUCGAGCGAACAGACGAGGAGCUUACUCCUCUGACGUUAGCGGCGGACGGGUGAGUAACACGUGGAUAACCUACCUAUAAGACUGGGAUAACUUCGGGAAACCGGAGCUAAUACCGGAUAACAUGUUGAACCGCAUGGCUCAACAGUGGAAGACGGUCUUGCUGUCACUUAUAGAUGGAUCCGCGUCGCAUUAGCUAGUUGGUAAGGUAACGGCUUACCAAGGCAACGAUGCGUAGCCGACCUGAGAGGGUGAUCGGCCACACUGGAACUGAGACACGGUCCAGACUCCUACGGGAGGCAGCAGUAGGGAAUCUUCCGCAAUGGGCGAAAGCCUGACGGAGCAACGCCGCGUGAGUGAAGAAGGUCUUCGGAUCGUAAAACUCUGUUAUUAGGGAAGAACAAAUGUGUAAGUAACUAUGCACGUCUUGACGGUACCUAAUCAGAAAGCCACGGCUAACUACGUG